This 1560-nucleotide ribosomal RNA is filed under the name Triticum aestivum (bread wheat). RNAcentral describes it as "partial small subunit ribosomal RNA". Lineage: Eukaryota; Viridiplantae; Streptophyta; Magnoliopsida; Poales; Poaceae. The record is from RNAcentral.
AUGGAGAAGAAGAGGGUGGCCAUCGUCGGAGCCGGCGUGAGCGGGCUGACGGCGUGCAAGCACCUGCUGGAGCGCGGCUGCCGUCCGGCCGUCUUCGAGGCGGACAAGCUCCUGGGCGGCGUGUGGGCGCGCGCCCCGGACUGCACUUCGCUGCAGUCGGAGCGGCCCAUGUAUCAGUUCUCCGACUUCCCGUGGCCGGAGUCCGUGACGGAGGUCUUCCCGGACCGCCGCCAGGUCGCCGACUACCUCGACGCCUAUGCCCGCCACUUUGGCGUGCUCGACUGCGUCAGGUUCGGGCACCGGGUGGUCGGGAUGGAGUAUGUGGGUGUUGGCAAGGAGGAGGUGGUGGCAUGGGAGGAGUGGGCCGGGUGCGGCGAGGCGUUUGGUUCUGGCGAAGGUGAGUGGCGUCUCACAGUGGUCGACGCCGAGGGCAACAUCGAGACACACGUGGCAGACUUUGUGGUUCUUUGCAUUGGGAGGUUUAGUGGUGUGCCCAACAUACCCACUUUCCCUCCGGGCAAAGGUCCAGAAGCAUUUGAUGGGCAGGUGAUCCACACCAUGGAUUACGCCAAAAUGGGCACCAAGAAAGCUACCGAGAUGUUAAAGGGCAAGCGUGUGACUGUCAUUGGCUACUUGAAAUCAGCUCUCGACGUAGCUGCUGAAUGUGCAGACGUAAAUGGUAUUGAACAUCCAUGUACAAUGGUAGUCCGAACAAAGCAUUGGAUCAUACCAAGCUACUAUGCUUGGGGUUUCCCUAUAGCAAACUUAUAUCUAAAUCGCUUCUCUGAAUUACUUAUCCACAAGCCUGGUGAGGGCUUCCUACUAUGCCUCUUGGCCAUCAUCUUGACUCCCCUGAGGUGGUUAUUCUCAAAGUUUGCUGAGAGCUACUACUCCAUCCCCAUGAAGAAGCAUGACAUGGUGCCUGAGCAUAGCUUCUUUGAGGCACUAGCGACAUGCUUGAUUGCCAUUACACCAAAGGACCACUACAAGAGACUAGACGAAGGCAGCAUUGUUCUGAAGAAGUCCAAGACCUUUAGCUUCUGCAAGGAAGGUGUAGUUGUUGAAGGUGAAUCUUCGCCGAUAAAGAGCGAUAUAGUGAUCUUCGGAACGGGAUUCAAGGGAGACCAAAAUAUCACGAACAUGUUUACUUCAGAAUACUUUCAGAGUAUUGCAGUUGGGCCAACAUCCUCGACGGUACCUCUCUACAGGGAGUGCAUACAUCCUAAGAUUCCGCAGCUCGCGGUCCUCGGUUAUUCAGAGAGUCUAGCGAAUCUGUACACUGCAGAAAUUCGGGCCAAAUGGCUGGCGCAUUUCAUUGAUGGUGGAUUCAAAUUACCAAGUGUGAAAGCAAUGCAGAGUGAUAUCCUUGAAUGGGAGAAGUUCAUGAAGCGCUAUUCCCGUGUCUACUUCAGGAGGUCCUGUAUUGGGCUACUUCACAUCUGGUACAAUGAUCAACUAUGUCAGGACAUGGGAUGCAACCCGAGAAGGAAGAAUAGCAUUUUAGCUGAAUUAUUUGAGGUAUAUGGUCCCCGUGAUUAUGUUAAUCUUCACCCCAAGUAA